RNAcentral lists this ribosomal RNA (437 nucleotides) under uncultured bacterium. RNAcentral's name for it is "partial 16S ribosomal RNA". It matches the Rfam family "Bacterial small subunit ribosomal RNA", at positions 29 to 507 of the family's 1533-position model. The record is from RNAcentral.
AGCGAACGCUGGCGGCAUGCUUAACACAUGCAAGUCGCGCGGGUGGUUUCGGCCAUCAGCGGCGGACGGGUGAGUAUCGCGGAGUAAUGUAUCCCGAGGUGGGGGACAACCCUGGGAAACUGGGGCUAAUACCGCAUGGGGCCUGUGGGUCAAAGCCUUAGAGCGCCUUGGUAGCAGCCUGCGUCCGAUUAUUUAGUUGGUAGGGUAAAGGCAUACCAAUCCUGCGAUCGGUAGCUGGGCUGAGAGGAAGAUCAGACACACCGGGACUGAGACACGGCACAGACUCCUACGGGAGGGAGGAGUGGGGAAUAUUGGAACAUGGGCGCAAGCCUGAUCCAGCAAUGCCGCGUGGGUGAAGAAGGUAUUCGGAUUGUAAAGCCUUUUUGGCGGGGAAGAUGAUGACGGUACCCGAAGAAGAAGCCCCGGCUAACUUCGUG